This 894-nucleotide long non-coding RNA is filed under the name Mytilus galloprovincialis (Mediterranean mussel). Lineage: Eukaryota; Metazoa; Mollusca; Bivalvia; Mytilida; Mytilidae. The record is from RNAcentral.
GACUUUUAUUCACAAAGCUAAGAAUCAUAUCACAGACAGACUGCGAAUAUUAGACAGUACUAGCCGGAUUUACAAAUGUAGUUCUAAUGCAACUUUCUGGUAGAAUUUAAGAAUGCAAUUCCCUCGGAGAAAGAUGAUCUUACAUGUGUUUGUUAAUAAUUUUGAUUGGCAUAUCGUCUGUUUCAUUUGACAAGAUAAUAAUGAUUAAACACAUAACAUAAGGCAAUGUCUAUUUUGAAUCACACAUUGAAGUGAUUUCAUCUCAGUAAUAUAACAAAUCAGUGAUGUAUCACAUAUGCAAUUGCUUUCACAUAUUUAUUCCAUCAACUGAAUUAAUAAAAUGUAUUUUACAAUUUCACGAAGAUUUGUAAAAGUUUGAACGCUUUUCGGUGAAAUUUCUCAACGUUGCUGCUUUACUGUCAGGGUUAGAUUUUACCAGCAUAUCAGUAUUGAACGGACUUAAAUGUACAUCCUCAACGUUGCUGCUUUUCUGUCAAGGUUAUUUUGUACCAGCAUAUCAGUAUUGAACGGACUUAAAUGUAUAUCCUCAACGUUGCUGCUUUUCUGUCAAGGUUAUUUUGUACCAGCAUAUCAGUAUUGAACGGACGUAAAUGUAUAUCCUCAACGUUGCUGCUUUUCUGUCAAGGUUUGUUUGUACAAAAUAUCAGUAUUGAACAGAUUUAAGCGUACAUCCCAAUGUUUCUGCGUUUGUUUAAGAACUAAUGAUUCUCAUUCUGAAAAUAAUAAUGAAAAAUAAUAAUAUAGUUGAGUAGUAAAUUGUUAGCAACUUUUGCAUCACGGAAAGAGGUAAGGACUGGGAUAACAUGUGAUUCAAUGUAUGUUCAGGCGUAGAUUACCUUAGCCGUAUUUGGCACCACUUUUGGGAAUUUCGGA